Homo sapiens (human) is the source of this 373-nucleotide RNA transcript. It is a transcript of the gene named HIKESHI pseudogene 2, with no coding region annotated. The record is from RefSeq and is marked validated. NCBI's taxonomy places the organism in Eukaryota, Metazoa, Chordata, Mammalia, Primates, Hominidae. The transcript has a single exon.
UGGGAACAAUCCCAUUUCCUGAGGGAAUGGGAGGAUCUGUCUACUUUUCUUAUCCUGAUUCAAAUGGAAUGCCAGUGUGGCAACUCCUAGGAUUUGUCACGAAUGGGAAGCCAAGUGCCAUCUUCAAAAUUUCAGGUCUUAAAUCUGGAGAAGGAAGCCAACAUCCUUUUGGAGCCAUGAAUAUUGUCCGAACUCCAUCUGUUGCUCAGAUUGGAAUUUCAGUGGAAUUAUUGGACAGUAUGGCUCAGCAGACUCCCGUAGGUAAUGCUGCUGUAUCCUCAGUUGACUCAUUCACUCAGGCCCAGAUGACACCAAGCCCAUCUGAAAUGUUCAUUCCGGCAAAUGUGGUUCUGAAAUGGUAUGAAAACUUUCA